RNAcentral lists this small RNA (77 nucleotides) under Rhizobium sp. N324. RNAcentral's name for it is "miscellaneous other RNA". Lineage: Bacteria; Pseudomonadati; Pseudomonadota; Alphaproteobacteria; Hyphomicrobiales; Rhizobiaceae. The record is from RNAcentral. RNAcentral also lists the same sequence under 3 other names.
GCAGGGCGUGUUUUCGUUGCGAGAUCCCGGAUGAAGAAAGCUGUCCUGAUUCUGUCCGCCUUCGGCCUCGUUGCCGC